UAUAUAUUGAUGUAAAAUGCAUAUUAAUUUUUGAAAUUAAAAGAAAUAGUUUAAUUCUAUUAAAUAUAA
Molecule: transfer RNA, 69 nt
Filed under: Diadegma semiclausum
Lineage: Eukaryota; Metazoa; Arthropoda; Insecta; Hymenoptera; Ichneumonidae
Also listed under: 1 other name
Description: tRNA-Gln
Source: RNAcentral